GGGUACAGAGGGGGCGGUGGCAGGGGUAAGACGGCGGGGGCUAGCGGUGUCCGGAUGUAUUGGGCGUAAAGAGCCCGAGGGCUGUUCAGUAAGUGUCAGGUGGAAUCUCCCUGCGCAACUGGGAGGGUGCCUGGAAAACUGCUGGACUUGAGGCAGGGAGAGGGAUGUGGAAUUCCCGGUGUAGUGGUGAAAUGCGUAGAUAUCGGGAGGAACACCAGUGGCGAAGGCGGCAUCCUGGCCCUGUCCUGACGCUCAGGGGCGAAAGCGUGGGGAGCAAACCGGAUUAGAUACCCGGUAGUC
RNAcentral lists this ribosomal RNA (300 nucleotides) under uncultured Thermosphaera sp. Its description in RNAcentral is "bacterial SSU rRNA". It matches the Rfam family "Bacterial small subunit ribosomal RNA", at positions 495 to 795 of the family's 1533-position model. Lineage: Archaea; Thermoproteati; Thermoproteota; Thermoprotei; Desulfurococcales; Desulfurococcaceae. The record is from RNAcentral.